ACAUCAGUGAGGUACAUCCUUACCUGUUGCUCUCUACAAGAGAGCUGCAGAACAUGAUGAAUGGGAAGGGAUGACUUAUUGAUUAGAUUAUCCCCUUCUCGAGGGCUGCAACUCCUUCGAGAAGCCAUUCUGAC
Small nucleolar RNA from Alosa sapidissima (American shad), 134 nucleotides. RefSeq annotates it as U8 small nucleolar RNA. NCBI's taxonomy places the organism in Eukaryota, Metazoa, Chordata, Actinopteri, Clupeiformes, Clupeidae. The record is from RefSeq and is a predicted model, not a curated record. The transcript has a single exon.